Molecule: long non-coding RNA, 895 nt
Organism: Papaver somniferum (opium poppy)
Lineage: Eukaryota; Viridiplantae; Streptophyta; Magnoliopsida; Ranunculales; Papaveraceae
Exons: 3
Source: RefSeq, a predicted model, not a curated record
UAUAAAAACCACACCAUAGGCGUAUAUACAAUCCUCCUGCCUUCCUCCAUUAACCAUCUUCGCCACCACCGUCACUAUUUUCAGCGCCACCACCAUCACUGCUUAAUGAAUAGGUUACGAAUCAAAUAUGGUUUUUGUUCUCAGAUAGGGACGAGAUAAAAAGGUUAGAUUUGAAUAAUGGGUAUGGAUGGAUUCGGAAAUGAAGUUUUCAUAAAAAAGCAUCAUACACUGAAAAGCUAAAGCAGCCAGCGUUAGGUUAAAGUGUCAAAUAUUAAUGAUUGGUGACUGCUGAUAGAGGCCAGCUUCCUUUCUCUGAUGACCUUUGGGACAUUUUUAGCACAAACAAUGUCAUCAGUAUCCUUUACAACAGGGUGAACAGAUGUUAUCAACUGCAUGACCAGAUGAUUCAGCCUCAUGUUAUCAACUUGCUAGUGAAUUCCACUAUGUGUAGAAAAUGGAAACUUAAGUACAGAAGUAUGAGGGAGCAGCAUUUCUGUCAUCAAAAGCAUUUAAGUAAACAAAGUUCUGUUGUUGUAUGAAGGAAGCAUCCUUCGUCAUUAUGCCCCUUAAACUGCAACCUUAGAAAAAGUUGGGAAUGAUCAUGCUGUGAGCUUCCAAGACUUUUUUCAAGCAAAUUCUGUGCAUGAACCACGUUUUGUUGAAGGAAUGAUGUAACAGGUGAAUAGGAAAACACUCCUCCCCAUUUCAUCCUAUAAAUUAUGUAUCCCUUUUCAAGUGUAAUAUAUUUUCUUUCCUAGCAAAAAAAGAAAAAGAAAAAACAUGUUUCGUUGAAGAAUUCAGGAGACGACUGCUGGAAAAUGUAUCCAAUGAGUUAGAGAGUAAUCUUAGACUGAUGAAUACUAUACCAUGUCAAUGAACUAGUUUUUUACUUUGC